This 527-nucleotide ribosomal RNA is filed under the name uncultured Pseudomonadota bacterium. RNAcentral's name for it is "bacterial SSU rRNA". It matches the Rfam family "Bacterial small subunit ribosomal RNA", at positions 376 to 896 of the family's 1533-position model. The record is from RNAcentral. Lineage: Bacteria; Pseudomonadati; Pseudomonadota.
CGGCAAGCCUGAUCCAGCCAUGCCGCGUGAGUGAAGAAGGCCUUCGGGUUGUAAAGCUCUUUCGGCGGGGACGAAACGGUUCGUGCCAACACCACGGACUAAUGACGGUACCCGAAGAAGAAGCACCGGCUAACUACGUGCCAGCAGCCGCGGUAAUACGUAGGGUGCAGGCGUUAAUCGGAAUUACUGGGCGUAAAGCGUGCGCAGGCGGUUUGUUAAGACAGGUGUGAAAUCCCCGGGCUUAACCUGGGAACUGCGCUUGUUACUGGCAGACUUGAGUGUGGCAGAGGGGGUGGAAUUCCAGGUGUAGCAGUGAAAUGCGUAGAUAUCUGGAGGAACACCGAUGGCGAAGGCAGCCCCCUGGGUUAACACUGACGCUCGUGCACGAAAGCGUGGGGAGCAAACAGGAUUAGAUACCCUGGUAGUCCACGCCCUAAACUAUGUCAACUGGUUGUCGGGGAAGCAAUUCCUUGGUAACGAAGCUAACGCGUGAAGUUGACCGCCUGGGGAGUACGGCCGCAAGGUUA